CUAGCAACGUCACGCCUAAGCUUUGCUCCAGGUCCUUACCAAAAGAGACAGGCAAGGGGCUUGUGGACGAAGGCUAGCAUGUGAGUGGGGGCGUGCGGCUCAGCUCCCGCUUCUAGUCAGGCCGCAGGAUUUCGCGGUCCACCCAGAGCCCUCUCCCCGAGAACGAAGCGUUAAAGGACUGCGUUAACAUCCCCAUUUACAGAGGGGCAAACUGAACUCAGAAAGGAAGGCCCACCCCCAGUAGCCACAGCUUGUUCUUCCCUGUAUUCCCUGGAGGGAAGCAAACGCUCCGUCUCCCCGGGAGCAACCCCGGGCCUUGAGAGGAGGGAUGUAUUGCCGUCUUCCCGCCCCGACUGCGUAAGGAAAACCACCCAAGUUGCGAACUCCAAAUCAAGCCGCAGCCUGGUCCUGCCUGCUCUCCCAUCACCUAUCCUUCCGCUCAGUUCAGAAUAUUUGGGAAAUGCUUCCAGAUGCUCUCAUGGCAACAGCUGUGCUCUAGGGCACAGUGAUGGUUUGAGACCAGUGACUGGAGACUAUCUUUUGAACCUUCCCCCGAGUGCUGGACACAGCUGUCUUUGGAAGCCCUUCUUUGGGAAGAAGCACAGCCAGCAACAGGCUCGAGUGAGCAGUUUCCAGACCUGAGGAAAGAAGGAGGGAGAGACCCAUGGACUGGUGGGAAGACAACAGAACCCCCAAAGCUGCACUUCUCUGCCUGGAGUAUUGUGGCUCCCCUGCUUCCCAGUCACAGACCAGGCGGAAGCUGAGCUGAAGUUGGGGUGACUGCAGAAAUAGGCCUUUGUGCCACUUGAGUGCAGCCUUGGAGUUGGACCAGGAGGAGGGUGACCAGUGUGAAGAAGGUAUGGAGAGACCCAGGCUGUCCCUGCUUUACCGUAAACAAGCUCCCGCAUUCAGAUGAAGAGCACACAGCUGGACCAGCCAGGCAGAUGGAGGCUAAUCCCGUCCCUGGCUAUUCUGUGUGACCCUGAACAAGCAAUAGCCAUCUCUCUGGCCUCAGUGAGAUCUCUGUGAAUCAGGGGGAUCGUUCCAGGAGGAUUAAGCAUGUCACCUGUGUAAGGAAGCUGGCUAUGUACCUGGCCUGCAGCAGGGCCCUGAGCCACAGGCCUUUUUCUGGUUCUGGGCUUCUGGGAAGGUGACGUUGAGCUGAUCUCCAAGUUCUCCAGAGACUCCAGCUGGGACGGCUGCUGUCCACUUGCCUGGCCAUGGCUGAUGGCCCCCAGCAGCUGGAUCGCUGCCUCAGAACCCAGCUGCAGGGAGACAGCACUUCAGAACCUGCCCCGCAGAGCUGGCCUCACCAGCCACUGUAAGCUCUGUGAGAACAUAGAAUGCACCUGCCUUGGUCUCCACUGUCUUCCCAAAGUCUCCAAAAGGCCUGGCACUUAAAGGGUUCAAUAAAUGUCUGCUGAUUGCUUCUGUCCCAGGAAAAGAACUGUCGCAUUCUUUCCUUCUCCUUUUCCCCUCCAAUCCCUGGCACAUUCA
Long non-coding RNA from Heterocephalus glaber (naked mole-rat), 1497 nucleotides. RefSeq lists it as uncharacterized. Lineage: Eukaryota; Metazoa; Chordata; Mammalia; Rodentia; Bathyergidae. The record is from RefSeq and is a predicted model, not a curated record.